UACGGAGGGGGCUAGCGUUGUCCGAAGUUACUGGGCGUAAAGCGCGCGUAGGCGGGUUGGUAAGUCCGCUGUGAAAGCCCGGAGCUCAACUCCGGAACUGCCAUUGAAACUGUUUAGCUUGAGGAUGAGAGAGGUGAGUGGAAUUCCCAGUGUAGAGGUGAAAUUCGUAGAUAUUGGGAAGAACACCGGUGGCGAAGGCGGCUCACUGGCUCAUUACUGACGCUCAGGCGCGAUAGCGUGGGGAUCAAACAGG
This 253-nucleotide ribosomal RNA is filed under the name uncultured bacterium. Its description in RNAcentral is "partial 16S ribosomal RNA". It matches the Rfam family "Bacterial small subunit ribosomal RNA", at positions 524 to 776 of the family's 1533-position model. The record is from RNAcentral.